Molecule: ribosomal RNA, 253 nt
Filed under: uncultured bacterium
Lineage: Bacteria
Description: partial 16S ribosomal RNA
Rfam family: Bacterial small subunit ribosomal RNA
Source: RNAcentral
UACGUAGGGGGCUAGCGUUGUCCGGAAUCAUUGGGCGUAAAGAGCGUGUAGGCGGCUCGGUAAGUCCGCUCUGAAAGCCCGGGGCUCAACCCCGGGAGGCGGGCGGAUACUGUCGAGCUAGAGUCCGGAAGAGGCGAGUGGAAUUCCUGGUGUAGCGGUGAAAUGCGCAGAUAUCAGGAGGAACACCAAUAGCGAAGGCAGCUCGCUGGGACGGUACUGACGCUGAGACGCGAAAGCGUGGGGAGCGAACAGG